UCCCCACCACUUUCAACUAAUUAACAAACUGACAUGCUGUUUCAACAUCUUGAUCCAACCCACCUUCUUUUCCAAACAACGAUUUUGAAAACUGUGACGCAGUUCUUCCCAAUCCCCUAAAAAAGAGUUUGCAGGCUGUUAUAACAUCUUAACUCCCUCAGACGACUGCUGUCAGAAAUUUUAAAUAAAUAAAAACAAGCUAGAGGAAAUGAAACGCUAAACAGAAAGGCAGUUAAACGAAAGAUGCUUUUCUGGGAGAUAGUUGUAGAACCUCUGAAUGCUGUUUGAACAUGACGUCAUGAAGAAUGAACUGAGCCACGACUGAUAUGAGCAAAUAAAACAAAAUUACAUGAACGUGUUUCUUUUGUGUUGUGUUAGUGAGAGAAAAAAGGGGGGGG
Molecule: non-coding RNA, 398 nt
Organism: Biomphalaria pfeifferi
Lineage: Eukaryota; Metazoa; Mollusca; Gastropoda; Planorbidae
Source: the annotation of a GenBank genome assembly